AUUGAACGCUGGCGGCAUGCCUUACACAUGCAAGUCGAACGGUAACAGGGAGCUUGCUCCGCUGACGAGUGGCGAACGGGUGAGUAAUGUAUCGGAACGUACCUUUCAGUGGGGGAUAACGUAGCGAAAGUUACGCUAAUACCGCAUAUUCUGUGCGCAGGAAAGCAGGGGAUCGCAAGACCUUGCGCUGAUUGAGCGGCCGAUAUCAGAUUAGCUAGUUGGUGAGGUAAAGGCUCACCAAGGCGACGAUCUGUAGCGGGUCUGAGAGGAUGAUCCGCCACACUGGAACUGAGACACGGGUCCAGGACUCCUACGGGUGGCAG
This 323-nucleotide ribosomal RNA is filed under the name uncultured Pseudomonadota bacterium. RNAcentral describes it as "bacterial SSU rRNA". It matches the Rfam family "Bacterial small subunit ribosomal RNA", at positions 30 to 351 of the family's 1533-position model. Lineage: Bacteria; Pseudomonadati; Pseudomonadota. The record is from RNAcentral.